UACGAAGGGGGCUAGCGUUGCUCGGAAUUAUUGGGCGUAAAGGGCGCGUAGGCGGCUAGAUGUGUCAAAGGUGAAAUCCCUCGGCUCAACUGAGGAACUGCCUUUGAAACUGUCUGGCUUGAGGCCGGGAGAGGGUAGCGGAAUUCCCAGUGUAGCGGUGAAAUGCGUAGAUAUUGGGAGGAACACCAGUGGCGAAGGCGGCUACCUGGACCGGUUCUGACGCUGAGGCGCGAAAGCGUGGGUAGCAAACAGG
This 253-nucleotide ribosomal RNA is filed under the name uncultured bacterium. RNAcentral's name for it is "partial 16S ribosomal RNA". It matches the Rfam family "Bacterial small subunit ribosomal RNA", at positions 524 to 776 of the family's 1533-position model. The record is from RNAcentral.